CAAGUAAGCCGGGUGGCCGCCCUCUAAUGCCAGGGUAAGGGGGAGGAAAGUCCGAGCUCCACCGGGCAAGAUGCUGGGUAACGCCCAGGAGGGGAAACCCUACGGAAAGUGCCACAGAAACAUACCGGCCCACGCAAGUGGACCAAGGGUGAAAUGGUGAGGUAAGAGCUCACCAGCAGCCGGGUGACCGGCUGGCUGGGCAAACCCCAUCCGGAGCAAGACCGAAAAGGAGGACUACAGGACGCCCGGCCUGUCCUCGGGUUGGUCGCUUGAGAUGACGGGUAACUGUCAUCCUAGAUAGAUGGUCACCACCUGAACGAUGCGGUGAAAACGCCGGGUCGUUCAAGUACAGAACUCGGCUUACAGGCUUACUUGGCUA
Molecule: RNase P RNA, 379 nt
Filed under: Dehalococcoidia bacterium
Lineage: Bacteria; Bacillati; Chloroflexota; Dehalococcoidia
Description: RNase P RNA component class A
Rfam family: Bacterial RNase P class A
About the family: Ribonuclease P (RNase P) is a ubiquitous endoribonuclease, found in archaea, bacteria and eukarya as well as chloroplasts and mitochondria.
Source: RNAcentral